Molecule: ribosomal RNA, 497 nt
Filed under: uncultured bacterium
Lineage: Bacteria
Description: partial 16S ribosomal RNA
Rfam family: Bacterial small subunit ribosomal RNA
Source: RNAcentral
GAUGAACGCUGGCUACGUGCCUAAUACAUGCAAGUCGAGCGAACAGACGAGGAGCUUGCUCUUCUGACGUUAUCGGCGGACGGGCGAGUAACACGUGGAUAACCUACCUAUCUGGCUGUGAUAACUUCGGGAAACCGGAGCUAAUACCGGAUAAUAUAUUUCACCGCCUGGUUCCAUAGUGAAAUAAGGGUUUGCUGUCACUUAUAGAUGGAUCCGCGCCGCAGUAGCUAGUUGGUAAGGUAACGGCUUACCAAGGCGACGAUGCGUAGCCGACCUGAAAGGAGGAUCGGCCACACUGGAACUGAGACACGGUCCAGACUACUACGGGAGGCAGCAGUAGAGAAUCUUCCGCAAGGGGAGGAAGCCUGACGGAGCAACGCCGCGUGGGUGAUGAAGGGCUUCGGAUCGGAAAACUCUGUUAUUAGGGAAGAACAAAUGUGUAAGGAACUAGGCACGUCUUGACGGUACCUAAUCAGAAAGCCACGGCUAACUACGUG